Long non-coding RNA from Cebus imitator (Panamanian white-faced capuchin), 343 nucleotides. RefSeq lists it as uncharacterized. The transcript is spliced from 3 exons. The record is from RefSeq and is a predicted model, not a curated record. Lineage: Eukaryota; Metazoa; Chordata; Mammalia; Primates; Cebidae.
CAAAGGCCAUUCUGCAAUGAUGAAGGGGGAUGAUUGAAAAGGGCUCAGCGUGAUACCUCCGUCUGCUGUUGGCAAAGCUUUAAGACUGCUGGGAACUCAGACGAAAGCAUCCUCAGGCUUGGAGAGCUGGACUAAACUGGUCUAACUAGGACACUUGAAGGCUUGUGAAUCAGUUCACAUGAUCAGUGUGAAAGCGGGUAUGAAGAUCCAGAUGCUGGUGUGGACGUGUGCAUGUAAGCACUCACAGAGGACACAGGUAUGAACUCAGAAGGGGUGGAUAUGCGGGUAUUCUUCACUCUCAAGCAAACCCCACAUGACAGAAAGUUCUUGCUACCAGCCAGGA